This 448-nucleotide ribosomal RNA is filed under the name uncultured bacterium. RNAcentral describes it as "SSU rRNA". It matches the Rfam family "Bacterial small subunit ribosomal RNA", at positions 26 to 518 of the family's 1533-position model. The record is from RNAcentral.
AGAGCGAACGCUGGCGGCAGGCUUAACACAUGCAAGUCGAGCGGGCGUAGCAAUACGUCAGCGGCAGACGGGUGAGUAACGCGUGGGAACAUACCUUUUGGUUCGGAACAACCCAGGGAAACUUGGGCUAAUACCGGAUAAGCCCUUACGGGGAAAGAUUUAUCGCCGAAAGAUUGGCCCGCGUCUGAUUAGCUAGUUGGUGAGGUAACGGCUCACCAAGGCGACGAUCAGUAGCUGGUCUGAGAGGAUGAUCAGCCACAUUGGGACUGGGACACGGCCCAAACUCCUACGGGAGGCAGCAGUGGGGAAUAUUGGACAAUGGGCGCAAGCCUGAUCCAGCCAUGCCGCGUGAGUGAUGAAGGCCCUAGGGUUGUAAAGCUCUUUUGUGCGGGAAGAUAAUGACGGUACCGCAAGAAUAAGCCCCGGCUAACUUCGUGCCAGCAGCCGC